Molecule: ribosomal RNA, 445 nt
Filed under: uncultured bacterium
Lineage: Bacteria
Description: partial 16S ribosomal RNA
Rfam family: Bacterial small subunit ribosomal RNA
Source: RNAcentral
GUGAGGAAUAUUGGUCAAUGGACGAGAGUCUGAACCAGCCAAGUCGCGUGAAGGAAGACGGUUCUAUGAAUUGUAAACUUCUUUUGUGCAGGAAUAAAGUGGGUUACGUGUAACCUUUUGUAUGUACUGUACGAAUAAGGAUCGGCUAACUCCGUGUCAGCAGCCGCGGUAAUACGGAGGAUCCGAGCGUUAUCCGGAUUUAUUGGGUUUAAAGGGUGCGUAGGUGGAUUGAUAAGUCAGCGGUGAAAGUUUGCAGCUUAACUGUAAAAUUGCCGUUGAAACUGUCGGUCUUGAGUGCAAAUGAGGUAGGCGGAAUGUGUUGUGUAGCGGUGAAAUGCUUAGAUAUAACACAGAACUCCGAUUGCGAAGGCAGCUUACUGGGAUGCAACUGACACUGAUGCACGAAAGCGUGGGUAUCAAACAGGAUUAGAAACCCCGGUAGUCC